RNAcentral lists this signal recognition particle RNA (169 nucleotides) under Otolemur garnettii (small-eared galago). RNAcentral describes it as "Metazoan signal recognition particle RNA". It matches the Rfam family "Metazoan signal recognition particle RNA". From Rfam's summary of the family: The signal recognition particle (SRP) is a universally conserved ribonucleoprotein. The record is from Rfam by way of RNAcentral. Lineage: Eukaryota; Metazoa; Chordata; Mammalia; Primates; Galagidae.
GCCGGGCGUGGCAGCGCACACCUGUUGUCCCAGCUACUCGGGAGGCUGAGGCAGGAGGAUCGCUUGAGCCCAGGAGUUCGAGGCUGUAAUGCGCUAUGAUAUAUGUAGUGUGCACCUGUGAAUAGCCACUGUACUCCAGCCUGGGCAACAUAGCGAGACCCUGUCUCAA